CCCUUAGAUGUCCUGGGCCGCACGCGCGUUACACUGAUGCAUUCAACGAGCUUAUAACCUUGGCCGAGAGGCCUGGGCAAUCUUGUUAACGUGCAUCGUGAUAGGGAUAGAUUAUUGAAAUUAUUAAUCUUGAACGAGGAAUUCCUAAUAAACGCAGAUCAUCAAUCUGCAUUGAUUACGUCCCUGCCCUUUGUACACACCGCCCGUCGCACCUACCGAUUGGAUGGUCCGGUGAAGCCUCGGGAUUGUGGUUCUUGCCGCUUUAUUGUGGCGUGACCGCGAGAACUUGUCUAAACCUUAUCAUCUAGAGGAAGGUGAAGUCGUAACA
Molecule: ribosomal RNA, 328 nt
Filed under: uncultured eukaryote
Lineage: Eukaryota
Description: partial 18S ribosomal RNA
Rfam family: Eukaryotic small subunit ribosomal RNA
Source: RNAcentral